Non-coding RNA from Misgurnus anguillicaudatus (oriental weatherfish), 2461 nucleotides. The record is from RefSeq and is a predicted model, not a curated record. NCBI's taxonomy places the organism in Eukaryota, Metazoa, Chordata, Actinopteri, Cypriniformes, Cobitidae.
UGGACGCGUUCUCGCACACCCUUGAACACAACGGAGCUUUUGGGUUGUAAGCAACAUCGUGCAGAUUUGGAAACAUUAACACACUCCUCUUCAAAAAUCGCAAGUGCUAUAACGGCGUGGCAGAGUAUGGGCCUGUCCAAAUUGGAGACCGCAUGCUACCACAGGAAGUGUGCAAACCGCCUCAACGCUGGAAAAGGCCAACGUUCAUAGCACUUAACGCAUUAAAUCAGCACUCUCCCACUUCUGAGCGGUAUUCAACCAAGGCUGAAAAAUCUGUACAUUCAUCGAUAUUUACUUCUUGAACCGGUUUAACUGAUGCUGGACAUUUGUGAUGUUGGCUGAAUCAGAAAAGCCUGUCAAGGGUCUGCUUGUGAGAGGCAUUUCAGGAGGUCCAGUAAAACAUGAACGCCAGGUGGUCCGAUGUGGUUCAGGUUCAGGUUAAUGACCGUGACCUCCGACGGGCUUCUCUUGAGUGCUGCUGCCAGGCCCUCGAGCAGAUCAUCUGUCAGUCCAGUGUUUCUCAGGAUCAGUUGCUCCACCUCAUCAGAAUUGUUCAGCACUUCCGUAAUGGCAUCCAUCUGAAUAUGAAAUCAUGGCUUCCUUUCCUAAACCGUGCAGAACAGAAGCAGAGCUUGACAACAGAGGGCUUUUGAUUUAUUACAACCACAUCUGGUACCUGUCGCAUUGGAAAAUCCAUUGAUUUAAAAGCAGGGUUUUCCUCCGUUCAGACGGGUCAAUCUGAAGCAGCCCCCUCGGCCCUGCUGAAAGCCCGGGCCGUAUCGAUACUCGCAACACGAACUGAUCCUGGCUGCCAUCAUCCCAUUCACAAAGAUGGAAGCGCUGAAGGGGUAACCCAGAUGUCUUUGAGAUGUAAACUGAAAUUGCUCUGUUGGGCAGAAUGAAAACGGUGAACGUUUUACACAGUGGGCAGUAAAAGAUCUGCUGAAGUACUUUCAUCUCAUCUGGAGUGUUUCCAGGAACCCCCUGUCCCAGAAACUCAUCGCUGUACACAAAGCUCCUGUGAUAGCGUAAUCUCUCAACAGAGCCGAAACGAACACCGAGAGGCUCACCUGCUUGCUGAAGUCAGGAGCUCUCUGAGAGUUGAUGGAAGAGGUCGAGCCGCGCCGUCUGCUCGUGUACAGAUAAGGACAUGAGUGACUCAGUUUGGCUCUUGCUGACUCCAGGUUUGACAUCUUUCCGGUGAUAGCAGGAAGGUAAACGUCACUCAACUGCUCUCUAAUAGCUGACUGACUCGGCUUGGACAACUGCACAGAUUAAAGCAAAGAAUUUCAACAGAUGGUGGCUGGAUCCAAACAUCUCCAUGUGCUGUGGAACGGUAUUCCCCUCUCUAUAAUGAAUGGAGACCAAUGGCAGAAAUGCCCAAGCAUCGUGGCUUAUUGGCUGGAAUAUUCUUUGCUAGGUGGACGUGAUGAUGUAACUCGUGUGAGUGAGCAGUGUGGAAAAGUAAGAACCUGGUUGUCAUACAGAUAAUUUAAUGACAUAUUGUAUUAUUAUAACAAGUUUGAUUUUCUAACAUCCACAUGAAUUAUGUCAGUUUUGUAUAAUGGCUUAUUUAGGGUCACAUGUGUAAAAAUGUACCUUAAGUGUUAAAGCAUGAAGCUUGGAUACUUCUAUUAAGUAUGUGAUCCUAUAUAGCUCAAUAGUAGAGCGGUGCAAAAUGUAAUAGGUUCGAACCCAGGGAACACACAUACAGUACUGAUAAAUAACAAGUGUAGCUUGUAAUGCACUUUAAAGGUGCAGUGUGUAAAUUUUAGCGGGAUCUAGUGGUGAGGUUGUGAAUUGCAACCAAUGGCUCUGUCCACUGCUCACCCGUCACUUUUUAAACGCAUAGAGAAGCUACGGUACAAAAUGGCGACUUCCGUGUAAGCGGACCCUCAGUAUGUAGACAAAAACGUCUCAUUCUAAGGUAAUAAAAACAUAACAGUUUAUUAUGAAAGGUCUUCAUACACCUCUAAUAAUAUAUUUAUGUAAAUUAUUUUGCAUUUCUGUCAAGAGAUCCUUCUAAAAAUUACACACUGCACCUUUAACUUGCUUUGGAUAAAGUGUCUGCCAAAUGCAUAAAUGUAAAAACAUAUGCCAUAUACAUAAGUAUAAUGUAAGUUUUCAGCUCAUAAAGUAAAGUUAACAACCCACUUAUUCUGAAUUAAUGCACCCGUCCCUCUAAGCUUCUCAUGUUGACCUGCAAAGCACAAAAUAAUCACAUCUUGUGAAGAAUAAAUGAGGUCGCCACACUUUGAAACAUAAAUCAAGAACUAAGUGUCCUGAUAUUAUUUUAAAGGUGCCAGGAUUGUGUUGGUUAUUGGUGUAAAGGUGAAGUAUUUUUACACUUUGAUGUAUUGCGAGUCCGUUUUGGGUUAACCUCAACAUUAAUCUUAUUACAUACUGCAAUGCAAUUUAACUUAAAAAACAACCUUUACUGUGUGUUGUCAGCACUGCAUGA